GCUACGGGUGGCAGCAGUGAGGAAUAUUGGUCAAUGGGCGCGAGCCUGAACCAGCCAAGUAGCGUGAAGGAUGACUGCCCUACGGGUUGUAAACUUCUUUUAUAAAGGAAUAAAGUGAGGCACGUGUGCCUUUUUGUAUGGACUUUAUGAAUAAGGAUCGGCUAACUCCGUGCCAGCAGCCGCGGUAAUACGGAGGAUCCGAGCGUUAUCCGGAUUUAAUGGGGUUCAAGGGAGCUCAUAUGGGUUGUUAAGUCAGUUGUGAAAGUUUGCGGCUCAACCGUAAAAUUGCAAUUGAUACUGGCAGUCUUGAGUACCGUUGAGGUAGGCGUAAUUCGUGGUGUAGCUG
Molecule: ribosomal RNA, 346 nt
Filed under: uncultured bacterium
Lineage: Bacteria
Description: partial 16S ribosomal RNA
Rfam family: Bacterial small subunit ribosomal RNA
Source: RNAcentral